ACAGUACAAACUGAGCAGGCCGAUUGGAGCCGGGCCGUCUUGACGGCAGCAGAGCGACUUACGUCUCUGCGGGACAGU
This 78-nucleotide non-coding RNA is filed under the name chicken gut metagenome. Its description in RNAcentral is "NiCo riboswitch". It matches the Rfam family "NiCo (Nickel/Cobalt) riboswitch aptamer". The record is from RNAcentral.